UAACACAUGCAAGUCGAACGAGAGAUGAGGAGCUUGCUCUUCAAAUCGAGUGGCGAACGGGUGAGUAACGCGUGAGGAACCUGCCUCAAAGAGGGGGGCAACAGUUGGAAACGACCGCUAAUACCGCAUAAGCCCACGGCUCGGCAUCGAGCAGAGGGAAAAGGAGCAAUCCGCUUUGAGAUGGCCUCGCGUCCGAUUAGCUAGUUGGUGAGGUAACGGCCCACCAAGGCGACGAUCGGUAGCCGGACUGAGAGGUUGAACGGCCACAUUGGGACUGAGACACGGCCCAGACUCCUACGGGAGGCAGCAGUGGGGAAUAUUGCACAAUGGGGGAAACCCUGAUGCAGCGACGCCGCGUGGAGGAAGAAGGUCUUCGGAUUGUAAACUCCUGUUGUUGAGGAAGAUAAUGACGGUACUCAACAAGGAAGUGACGGCUAACUACGUGCCAGCAGCCGCGGUAAAACGUAGGUCACAAGCGUUGUCCGGAAUUACUGGGUGUAAAGGGAGCGCAGGCGGGAGAACAAGUUGGAAGUGAAAUCCAUGGGCUCAACCCAUGAACUGCUUUCAAAACUGUUUUUCUUGAGUAGUGCAGAGGUAGGCGGAAUUCCCGGUGUAGCGGUGGAAUGCGUAGAUAUCGGGAGGAACACCAGUGGCGAAGGCGGCCUACUGGGCACCAACUGACGCUGAGGCUCGAAAGUGUGGGUAGCAAACAGGAUUAGAUACCCUGGUAGUCCACACCGUAAACGAUGAUUACUAGGUGUUGGAGGAUUGACCCCUUCAGUGCCGCAGUUAACACAAUAAGUAAUCCACCUGGGGAGUACGACCGCAAGGUUGCAACUCAAAGGAAUUGA
RNAcentral lists this ribosomal RNA (851 nucleotides) under uncultured bacterium. RNAcentral describes it as "bacterial SSU rRNA". It matches the Rfam family "Bacterial small subunit ribosomal RNA", at positions 49 to 913 of the family's 1533-position model. The record is from RNAcentral.